AAUCAACGCUGGCGGCGUGCCUAACACAUGCAAGUCGAACGAGAAAGUGGAGCAAUCCAUGAGUAAAGUGGCGACCGGGUGAGUAACACGUGACUAACCUACCCUUGAAUGGGGAAUAACCUUCCGAAAGGAGGGCUAAUACCGCAUAAAGUCCUAAGGAUGAAACGCCUAAGGACCAAAGGAGCAAUUCGUUUAAGGAGGGGUCGCGGUUGAUUAGCUAGUUGGUGGGGUAAGUGGCCCACCAAGGCGAUGAUCAAUAGCCGGCCCUGAGAGGGCGGCACGACCACACUGGAACU
RNAcentral lists this ribosomal RNA (296 nucleotides) under uncultured bacterium. RNAcentral describes it as "partial 16S ribosomal RNA". It matches the Rfam family "Bacterial small subunit ribosomal RNA", at positions 32 to 320 of the family's 1533-position model. The record is from RNAcentral.